Molecule: ribosomal RNA, 450 nt
Filed under: uncultured bacterium
Lineage: Bacteria
Description: partial 16S ribosomal RNA
Rfam family: Bacterial small subunit ribosomal RNA
Source: RNAcentral
GUGGGGAAUUUUGGACAAUGGGGGCAACCCUGAUCCAGCCAUGCCGCGUGCGGGAAGAAGGCCUUCGGGUUGUAAACCGCUUUUGUCAGGGAAGAGAUCCUUUGGGUUAAUACCUCGGAGGGAUGACGGUACCUGAAGAAUAAGCACCGGCUAACUACGUGCCAGCAGCCGCGGUAAUACGUAGGGUGCGAGCGUUAAUCGGAAUUACUGGGCGUAAAGCGUGCGCAGGCGGUUUUGUAAGAUCGAUGUGAAAUCCCCGGGCUCAACCUGGGAACUGCAUUGGUGACUGCAAGGCUGGAGUGCGGCAGAGGGGGAUGGAAUUCCGCGUGUAGCAGUGAAAUGCGUAGAUAUGUGGAGGAACACCGAUGGCGAAGGCAAUCCCCUGGGCCUGCACUGACGCUCAUGCACGAAAGCGUGGGGAGCAAACAGGAUUAGAUACCCUUGUAGUCC